GUUGUGGCUCAGGGGUAGAGAGCUUGCCUAGCAUAUGUAAGGCACUGGGUUCGAUUCUCAGCACAGCA
Molecule: transfer RNA, 68 nt
Filed under: Marmota monax (woodchuck)
Lineage: Eukaryota; Metazoa; Chordata; Mammalia; Rodentia; Sciuridae
Description: tRNA.Ala
Source: RNAcentral